CGAAAUGCGAUAAUUAAUGUGAAUUGCAGAAUUCAGUGAAUCAUCGAGUCUUUGAACGCACAUUGCGCCCCCUGGUAUUCCGGGGGGCAUACCUGUCCGAGCGUCAUUGCUGCCCUCAAGCACGGCUUGUGUGUUGGGCUUCCGUCCCUGGCAACGGGGACGGGCCCAAAAGGCAGUGGCGGCACCAUGUCUGGUCCUCGAGCGUAUGGGGCUUUGUCACCCGCUCCCGUAGGUCCAGCUGGCAGCUAGCCUCGCAACCAAUCUUUUUAACCAGGUUGACCUCGGAUCAGGUAGGGAUACCCGCUGAACUUAAGC
Molecule: unclassified non-coding RNA, 315 nt
Filed under: plant metagenome
Description: partial contains 5.8S ribosomal RNA, internal transcribed spacer 2, and large subunit ribosomal RNA
Rfam family: 5.8S ribosomal RNA (bases 1-106)
Source: RNAcentral